RNAcentral lists this ribosomal RNA (276 nucleotides) under uncultured bacterium. Its description in RNAcentral is "partial 16S ribosomal RNA". It matches the Rfam family "Bacterial small subunit ribosomal RNA", at positions 32 to 288 of the family's 1533-position model. The record is from RNAcentral.
AAUCAACGCUGGCGGCGUGCCUCAGACAUGCAAGUCGAACGCGAAAGUCCCCUUCGGGGGACAAGUAGAGUGGCGCACGGGUGAGUAACACGUAGGUAAUCUACCUUCGGAUGGGGAAUAACAAUCGGAAACGGUUGCUAAUACCGCAUAAUGCAGCGGCACCUAAUGGUGACAGUUGUUAAAGCGGGGGAUCGAAAGACCUCGCGUCUGAAGAGGAGCCUGCGGCGGAUUAGCAGUUGGUAAGGUAAUGGCUUACCAAGGCGACGAUCCGUAACC